AACUCGGGCAGGUUUUGCAGCAGAGAUUAUCCUUUAGGCACAGCAGUGUGACAGUCUGCCUCGGGACACUUCUGGUCAAAUUUGGGGAUUUGGUCUCGAACUGCAAGGAAAGAUUUAACCUGGAAGCUAUAGCACUCUAACGAAGGCUGUCCAAAGAACUGAGAACCUGGAUGACUUAGCAGUAUGUGUGUAUCCAUUCCUGUUCUGAAUAUCUGGCUUUUGUAAGCUACUUCAACACAGAGCCGGCUGACAAGCAGAAAUGAGCUUACCAGCCAGCCAGGUGCCGGGCAGUGCGUCUGGGCUGUCGUGACUUCUGGUCAAGUGGCUGAGAAACAGGCAUUGCUCGGUGACAUCCCAAAGCAAACCUGCAGGGAAGGCGACAGCGUGGAGUGCAGCCCAUGGCAUGGGUUAUGCAGGGUGACUCCAUCGA
Molecule: long non-coding RNA, 430 nt
Organism: Falco peregrinus (peregrine falcon)
Lineage: Eukaryota; Metazoa; Chordata; Aves; Falconiformes; Falconidae
Exons: 3
Source: RefSeq, a predicted model, not a curated record